Molecule: ribosomal RNA, 464 nt
Filed under: uncultured Glomus
Lineage: Eukaryota; Fungi; Glomeromycota; Glomeromycetes; Glomerales; Glomeraceae
Description: SSU rRNA
Rfam family: Eukaryotic small subunit ribosomal RNA
Source: RNAcentral
AGCAGCCGCGGUAAUUCCAGCUCCAAUAGCGUAUAUUAAAGUUGUUGCAGUUAAAAAGCUCGUAGUUGAAUUUCGGGAUCAGUACGCUGGUCGUGCCUUUGGUAUGUACUGGUGUCACUGAUUCCUCCCUUCUGAAGAACCGUUAUGCCAUUUAUUUGGUGUGGCGGGAAAUCAGGACUGUUACUUUGAAAAAAUUAGAGUGUUUAAAGCAGGCUCGCGCUUGAAUACAUUAGCAUGGAAUAAUGAAAUAGGACGUUUGAUCUUAUUUUGUUGGUUUCUAGGAUCGACGUAAUGAUUAAUAGGGAUAGUUGGGGGCAUUAGUAUUCAAUUGUCAGAGGUGAAAUUCUUGGAUUUAUUGAAGACUAACUACUGCGAAAGCAUUUGCCAAGGAUGUUUUCAUUAAUCAAGAACGAAAGUUAGGGGAUCGAAGACGAUCAGAUACCGUCGUAGUCUUAACCAUAAAC